UACACUCCUGCGGGAGGCAGCAGUGGGGAAUUUUGGACAAUGGGGGCAACCCUGAUCCAGCAAUGCCGCGUGAGUGAAGAAGGCCUUCGGGUUGUAAAGCUCUUUUGUCAGGGAAGAAACGGUGGUGGCGAAUAACUACUACUAAUGACGGUACCUGAAGAAUAAGCACCGGCUAACUACGUGCCAGCAGCCGCGGUAAUACGUAGGGUGCAAGCGUUAAUCGGAAUUACUGGGCGUAAAGCGUGCGCAGGCGGUUGUGUAAGUCAGAUGUGAAAUCCCCGGGCUCAACCUUGGAAUUGCAUUUGAGACUGCUCGGCUAGAGUGUGUCAGAGGGGGGUAGAAUUCCACGUGUAGCAGUGAAAUGCGUAGAUAUGUGGAGGAAUACCGAUGGCGAAGGCAGCCCCCUGGGAUAACACUGACGCUCAUGCACGAAAGCGUGGGGAGCAAACAGGAUUAGAUACCCUGGUAGUCCCAU
RNAcentral lists this ribosomal RNA (475 nucleotides) under uncultured organism. RNAcentral describes it as "partial 16S ribosomal RNA". It matches the Rfam family "Bacterial small subunit ribosomal RNA", at positions 332 to 798 of the family's 1533-position model. The record is from RNAcentral.